CCCUUAGAUGUUCUGGGCGGCCCGCGCACUACAAUGGCGUGUGCAGCGAGUGCCGAAGUAGAGUUUUCCGAGGUAUUCUUGCAAUGCUCGUUUUGAUGGGGAUAGACCCUUGCAACUGUUGGUUUUGAACGAGGAAUUCCUUGUAAGCAUGGUUUAUCAUCCGACGCUGAAUGCGUCCCUGCCCUUUGUACACACCGCCCGUCGCUCCUACCGAUGAGUCGUCCGGUGAAGUUCGUAGACCUCGUGAUCGCAGAUCACUGGGGGAAGCAAAAUGAACCUCGCGGUUUAGAGGAAGGAGAAGUCGUAACA
This 309-nucleotide ribosomal RNA is filed under the name uncultured eukaryote. RNAcentral's name for it is "partial 18S ribosomal RNA". It matches the Rfam family "Eukaryotic small subunit ribosomal RNA", at positions 1470 to 1796 of the family's 1831-position model. The record is from RNAcentral.